GCUCAGUCAGUAUGGUGGAUAUGAUCCUCAGCUUGGAACCGAGUGGGUUCGGGUUCGAAUCCCGAAUAAGGCA
RNAcentral lists this transfer RNA (73 nucleotides) under Trichonephila clavata. Its description in RNAcentral is "tRNA-Pro". Lineage: Eukaryota; Metazoa; Arthropoda; Arachnida; Araneae; Nephilidae. The record is from RNAcentral.